Molecule: ribosomal RNA, 207 nt
Filed under: uncultured bacterium
Lineage: Bacteria
Description: partial 16S ribosomal RNA
Rfam family: Bacterial small subunit ribosomal RNA
Source: RNAcentral
CGUGUAGGCGGUUUAGCAAGUCGAGUGUGAAAUCCCACGGCUCAACCGUGGAACUGCGCUCGAAACUGCCUUACUUGAGUGCGGGAGAGGUGUGCGGAAUUCCUGGUGUAGCGGUGGAAUGCGUAGAUAUCAGGAAGAACACCGGUGGCGAAGGCGGCACACUGGCCCAGCACUGACGCUGAGGCGCGAAAGCGUGGGGAGCGAACG